Oncorhynchus tshawytscha (Chinook salmon) is the source of this 379-nucleotide long non-coding RNA. Lineage: Eukaryota; Metazoa; Chordata; Actinopteri; Salmoniformes; Salmonidae. The record is from Ensembl.
UGGGGUAUUGUGUGUAGAUUGAGGAAAAUCUAUUGAAUCCAUUCUCGAAUAAGGCUGUGGGAAAAAGUCCAGGGUUUGAAUAGUUUACGAAUGCACACAGACUUGACAGAAAACACACUGCUCUACUUUCUCUUGUACACUAAGGACCAGAUAAAGAGUUGGAGAGAAGAAGGUUCCUAUUUGAAAAACCUAGAAAAAAAAUAAGUAACUAGAGAAGGUUGGAGACCCCUGGUAUACAGGAAGUAUGCAGCUCAGACGUGUGUGUGGUUGGAGACCCCUGGUAUACAGGAAGUAUGCAGCUCAGACGUGUGUGUGGUUGGAGACCCCUGGUAUACAGGAAGUAUUCAGCUCAGACGCGUGUGUGUGGUUGGAGACCCCU